GAGGUUUGGGGUGUGGGCUCCAGCCUGGAACCGCUUACCUGGAGUGGCUCUGGGGUGGCAACGGCAUGCAGUGUGGCUAAGGCCGGCUCUGUGCCCUCCCUGGCCCCGCACUGUGCCACACCACGUCCCUGCAGACACUGGAGGAGGGCAGGCAGAGGGCUCCGCGUGCUGUUCUCGCCUGUGGGUACUUCUCUUGAAGCUCCCAUUGGCCGUGGUUCCCCAUUUCCAGCCAAUGGGAGCUGCGGGGGGCGGUGCCUGCAGGCGAGGGCAGCGCACAGAGCUCUCUGCUCUUUCCUCUCCCCCAGGGGCCUCAGGGACUUGGUGCUGGCGGCUUCCAGCAGGGGCAUGGUGCCCGUGGUGCCAUGGGGGCAGCAAUCCUGCAGGCCAGAUCCAAAGCCCUGAUUGGCAGGAUUCAGCUCACAGGCCGUAGUUUGCCCACCCCUGUGCUAGGGGAUGAGGAUGAAGGGGGCAGAAGAGUAGCACUGGGGGCCAGUCCUCCAUCAGGCAGCCUCAGCACAUCUAGAGGCUCCCUUUAGUGUAGGAAGGCCAUGCCCUCCUCCCCCCAAUCCCUGCUAUGGGAGGAAACAGUUUUCAGGAAACCUUGAGGAAGGAAGGAGUAGGAAUGCAGCUGUUUGUGGGGAAAGAUCUUGGCCAGAAAUUUCCACUGGAAAAAAAUACCAGGCACCAAAAGCCUCUUAAAUCUAGCAGAGAAAGGCGUAACAAGAAUCAACGGCUAGAAGCUGGUGCCAGAAAAUUGCAAAUUAGAGAUACAGCGCACGUUUUUAUAACAAGGAGGGUGAUUUACCACUGGAACAAAGGGAGUGGUGUAUUCCCCAUCUCUUGAUGUCUUCAGAUUAAGACUAGAUGCCUUGAAUUUAUGCUUUAGCCAAAAGAUAAACACAAGUUAUUGGAGUCAGUACAGGGCUAGCUGGGUUAAAUGUAAUGGCCUGUGAAAUACCAGAGGUCAGACUAAGAUGAUCUAAUGAUCACUUUUGGCCUUAAAUUCUAUGAAUCUAUGAAUGUGAAACCUAUACAUUUGAUGUUUAUGUAUCUAAUGUUAAAGUAUAUUGCCUUCACAUUCCUGGAUAUUUUAUUACAUUAAAUAUUAACAUUCUUGAAAGAGCAAAAAUAACCAUCAUUGAGGCAAUAAUUACCAAAGCACAGCUUAGAUGGACAGAUCUUAUUAUCAGAAUGGGUAAGGCUAGACUCCCGAAAAAGUCCUCUAUCAUGAGAUGAAAUCAGAAGGCACAGGAAGGGCAGUAAAUGUAAAUAUUUCAAAGAUAGGAUCUCAAAGCAUGAGGCAUAAAUAUAGAUAACUUUGAAAAAAGAAAAGGAGUACUUGUGGCACCUUAGAGACUAACAAAUUUAUUAGAGCAUAAGCUUUCGUGAGCUACAGCUCACUUGAAACAGCCAAGGACACACCUGAAUGGAGAACAAUCAACAAAAGUUCUGAAAGUAUAAUUAUUCAUAAAGCACUACCAGUGUGGUCAUCUAUGAACAAUCAAGCAUCCAGAUCCUCUGCUGGGCUGUGGCACUGAAGUCAAUGGAGCUAUGCUGAUUUGUACCAGUUGAGGUUCUUCUCAUGGGUCUCUUCUCAAGGAGCUUGCAGCCUGUUUCAGAUGCAAACACUUCAGACAUGUCUGAAGUGCCAGAAGUCAGUUUGAUGGGAUGUCUUCAGGGAGAAAUUACAGUAGUAUAAAGGGCCCUACUGUCAAUCAAACCCUAACCCCGCCCCUUGACCCCUGCCCCCUUCACCAGAAGGCCUGCCCAUGGGGUAUUACAUGGGGUCAAGGCUGCCACAUGACCAGAAGCAAGGUGUGUCAUGUGACCCCUCUAACUACUCGUCCCACUUCCCUCUACCAACCAGGAGGUGUUUCACCCCUCUAGGCCUACCCUGAGAGGAGAUUUGACCAAUCAAGGCAAGUUCCAGGGUGGGGGUGUCCUCUCCAGAAGUGGGUCAUGUGACCCCUCUAACAACUCCUCCCCACACCCUCUACCAAUCAUGAUGGGUUUCACCCCUCUAGGACUGCCCCGAGAGGAGAUUUGACCAAUCAGGGUGAGUUGCGGGGGUGGGUGACCCACCCGGAAAUAAUUCGUGUGACCCCUCUAACAACUCCUCCCACCAACCUCUACCAAUCAGGCCACCCCGAGAGCAGAUUUGACCAAAAUAGGGCAGGUUCUGGGAUGGGGUGAACUGCCCAGAAGAGGGGUGCGUGACCCCUCUGUCAAUCAGAGCGCAGCACCAUCACCCCAUAAGUCCCAGCGUCGGGCAGAAGAGGCCAUCCUUUACCCAGAGUGCAUGUUUUAGAAAUCGUGGAAACAUGGCCUCCUUCACCACCUGUGAGAACUUCGGACUUUGUUUUAGGCCCGAGCACCUUUGGACUUGUGUGGAGAAAGCGCUACCUCAGUGAGAGUUCUGAGGAGGACCCUUUGGCCCAACCGUUGGUGGAUACGGCGGAAACUGACCCCGAAACCCAGAUGCUUGUGAGGCACCCUGAUGAGCGUGAUGGCCUCUUGUUGUCCACCCCCCUAGAGGUCAAAAGGGAUCAUGGCUUGGGGGAGUUACAGGUGGACAAGGUGAACGGAAAAGACAACGCUCAGCUCAAUGAUGCCUUUCUAGAGGCCUUUGAGAACUUACACAGCGGUAGCCCUGUAGGAGUAAAUGUAUCAUGCAUCAGCUGUUUUUGCACAUGUCUGAGAUAUGGAUCUCAAGAGGAAAAGGACAAAAUGGAAGAAUGAAGCAGCACGGACUUCCUCAUGUUAGGAGUCAUGGCAUCCAUUUUUACAGGCGGUUGUAAAAGGUUGUGUUAAACCAGGCAAUUAAUAAAACUUAUUUAAAUGUGUUAAUA
Long non-coding RNA from Dermochelys coriacea (leatherback sea turtle), 2849 nucleotides. RefSeq lists it as uncharacterized. Lineage: Eukaryota; Metazoa; Chordata; Testudines; Dermochelyidae. The record is from RefSeq and is a predicted model, not a curated record. The transcript has 3 exons.